RNAcentral lists this ribosomal RNA (253 nucleotides) under uncultured bacterium. RNAcentral describes it as "partial 16S ribosomal RNA". It matches the Rfam family "Bacterial small subunit ribosomal RNA", at positions 524 to 776 of the family's 1533-position model. The record is from RNAcentral.
UACAGAGGGUGCGAGCGUUGUCCGGAAUCACUGGGCGUAAAGGGCGCGUAGGCGGGGAGGUAAGUCGGGUGUGAAAUCCCUCGGCCCAACCGAGGAACUGCGCCCGAGACUGCUUCUCUUGAGUCCCGGAGAGGAAGAUGGAAUUCCCGGUGUAGCGGUGAAAUGUGUAGAGAUCGGGAGGAACACCGGUGGCGAAGGCGGUCUUCUGGACGGUGACUGACGCUGAGGCGCGAAAGCGUGGGGAGCAAACGGG